CAGAGCCGUGUGGCUUGUAGUGCCUUCUCGUGGCAGAUAGUUUGAUCUGCAGUAGUUUGAAUCUGAGGAUGCUGAACCUGUGGAUAAGGAGAGCCUACUUUUCUUGGACAAAUGCCCUGUGUCAGAAGAGUGUGGUAAACAGAAGCUCAGCUCCUUCAAGGAUGACAGCCUUGGUUACACCACCAGGUGUGAGCAUUCGGAUCACCAACGCUGUGACCUCGCUGUGUGAACGGGAGCUACUACAGGAAGGAAGCUUACAAAUGAGCUGCAUGGAUCCCACAUUUUGCUAAAAUCAAAUAGGACCUUUCUCCUCUUUGUUGAAUGCCGUAAUACACAAGAAAUAAGCCAGCAGGAUGCUCAUGUCCAAGGUUUCCCUUUAUCUACCACACGAGUUGGCAUGAAACAACUUCUGGGGUUCAAAUCUUCUGAACAAUGAUACAAGUCUUGGCAAAUUUCAAGAAUAAUUUAAAGAGGAAAUAAAUAGCUUUUUGUUUAACUUGGAUCAAUUAUCUCCUAUUGCUCCCAGCUUCAUGCCAGGUACUCUCCACUGUGCCUGGGAAAUAUGAAUCCCUGCCCUCAUGAAAAAACAUUGGCCAUGAGGAUUUUCCCUACAACCCAAGAACUAUUUGAAGUUUGAAGUCUUUCAGCCCAGACAACACUGGCUAUUUUCACCUUUGCCUUCAACUAUAAAGGCUGGGCUCUCUCUGCAGGAGUGGGUUACUGCUGGCAGAACAGAGAAAGAGAGAGAGCAGGAGAGAGAGAGACAGACAGAAUCCACUAGUAGAAUAAGCCAUGAUCACCACUCAAAACUUUUGCUACUACUUGAUCAGUACCUGGAAUUCUGAGGAAAACCCUAUUAGAGAUUGCAAAUCCAGUAAAUAAAGGCAGCAGUGGUACCUUGUUAAAAACAUCAAAUCCAAAGUGCUCUGAGGAGGAAUAUGUACGGUGUGUUCUAGGGACAGAAAAUAAGACAAACGUGGCUGGAGUAUUGGAAGGGGAAGUGAGUGUUACUAGAGAAGGUCAUGAGGUGAGGCGGGCCAGAUCAUAUGGGUCUGUGUAAGCUAUGGCAAGGAGUGUGGAUUUUAUUCCAAGUAAGAUGGAAAGCCUUUAUGAAGUUUUAAAAACGGCAGUGUUAUGAUUUGUAACAUCUGAGUUUAUGUUUACAUCGUGGCCAAAUUAUUUUAUAAAAUAAUGUAAUAAUGGUUCAACAGUUUGAUUGUGUUGCCCUUAAAAUUUCACAAGACUUAAAAUUUUCUACACUAUUCAUUUCAGUAUUGACUGUAAUUUAAUAACUCAAUUAGUAAUGUUAAAUAAAUUAUUUGUUACUACCUAUUGAAAUUAUAUAUAUAUAUACACACAC
This 1360-nucleotide long non-coding RNA is filed under the name Homo sapiens (human). RNAcentral describes it as "HSALNT0047620". Lineage: Eukaryota; Metazoa; Chordata; Mammalia; Primates; Hominidae. The record is from RNAcentral.